UAAUCACCAUUACCAUUCUAAAUACCUCCCACUCUCCCAAGACCCACCGCCUCCACAUAUUCUGUAAACCCUAAUUGCCAUCUCCAUCGACAUGAAUCAAGACUCCAAUUCGUUGAUGCCCAGUCUUCGCAGCCUCGCCAUCGUCCCCCUUGAUUGUGGUUGUCGUUGCGCUCUGACCACAUAUCUCUGAUUCAGGAUUCCUAGUGUCGAAAAUUACGGAGGAACAAUGGGGAUUAUGGAUAGUGGAGGAGACAUAUAAUUUAUCAAGAUCCAAAAUUGGAAUUCAAAGAUGAAAGUCCUGCCCGAGCCUCUCGAAUCCCAGCUUCACAUGAAGAAAUGGAAUAUAUUGGCACAAUCUAAGGUUGAAUGACAUGGUUAUGUCUAAUCAAUCACGCCAUGGACAUGAUGAAGGUUUUUUAUGCUGACCACACUUGGUUGUAUAGGAGUAAUUUAGAUAGAUGUAUUGUAGUAUAGUAGUAUGUAAUGGAAUAGGGUCUGUGAAUUGUAAUAGGGAGCAACUCUUGUUAUACAAAUAAGCUUUUAUUACAUAAUGAUAUUGUGUUUCCAUUUCUUAUC
Molecule: long non-coding RNA, 576 nt
Organism: Lactuca sativa (garden lettuce)
Lineage: Eukaryota; Viridiplantae; Streptophyta; Magnoliopsida; Asterales; Asteraceae
Source: RefSeq, a predicted model, not a curated record